GGAUGCAAUAAUGCAUAAGAUGAGAUGCAAUCGUUCUAAGCGUGACCUAACCCCGAUGGUUUAGGAUUAGUGAGUUGUAAUGAUUAGUUUCGGGUGUGUUGCACUUUUAGAGUGAUUCACAAACAAGAUUCUUAUUAAGGUUGAUUACUUGGGAUUAUAAAUAAGCAAUGCAAUAUAUCACAACAAUAAUAUUACAAGCACACAUCAAUAAGAAUUGGUAUAAUCCUAACAUGUAAUGAACAGUUGUUGGUUUUAGCACUCUAUGGCAUGGUUAAUGGUUAAUUAUCAUAUACUUCAAAAGAAUAACUUUUGAAGAACAUACUGCUUAAGAAAUAAGAAGUAUUACAAUUAAGGUUUAUAGGUACUAGGGUUUGCUAUUGGAUCCACUAAGGAAUGAAUAGUUGGCUUCGAGGUAUGAUGGUUCAUAAGUAUCUAACACUAGUAGGGUUUAGUGUGGACGGUAUAUAAUGCAAAAUAUUGGGCCUGGUUGCUAUUAGAGUUCACCAUAAUGGUGUGAUGCUAAAUAAGGAUAAUUAAGGAUGAUGGCCUUGGUAAUAGGAACUAGGUUUACACUUAGUUGAGUUGAACUAGAGGUGAUGGCUAAUGGUUAUUUGGUUUGGUAUCAUUCCCAUAAAUAUAUACUAUGGAAUGACCCCACUAACAAGGUAUGAUAAAUUCAUAGGAUAAGAGUUAACUUUCGACUAAUAAUUGAUUGGUGUAUACAAAUAACACAUCACUCUAGCUAUGACCUUCUACACAAGAUCCAAUCAUAAAGUUCCUACUUAUAAGUAUCGAACAUGGUCAUGCAAAGUAAGUCAAACAAUUUUAUUUGGCUGAAAGAUGUUUAAUAAUAUGACGUAAAGUGUGGUUUGAGUUUGCGUGUUUUUAGAUGUGAAAGCAAGUUCCUAGUAUAGAGUUAUAGCAACUCAUAUCAUAUUUAGGUUUAAGGAAUUAUUUUUAAGGCAUAAGAAUUUUCUAAAGUAUCUUGGAUUUAAUUUACUAAUUUGGGUGAAGGGAAACAUUCCUUACAAAUAUAAUUUGGUACUAGAAUAUAAUUUAAAACUAAUAAGUAUUUAUGUUAGAUUUUAUGGAAUUUCUUAUAUGCUAUUUUUAAUAAAAAUCACAUUCUAAGUUGAGACCAUGUUUAAAUUAUUUGGAAAGUAUUUAUUACAGAUUAAAGUCAAAAUAAUAUUUUAAGCCUUUUAGGAACUCAAUUUAAUAUUAACAUGAAUAAUGUUCCUAAUUCAUAGAAGUUAGGAAACAUCAUGUAUUUAUUUUUUUAAUACUUGUUUGGUAUUUGUGUAGAGAAACUUUUAUAGUUUUAAAUUUAUAACCAAAUAAUGAUACUAGCUUCCACUAAUAUAGGUAUGUUGCAUAUUAUAAUUUGAUUACCUUAGUUAGGACACAUAUACACACUAGUGGAUUAGUUUAUUAGGCUGGAGCUAUUUUGGUUAAUAGUAUUACACAUACAUGAACAUGGCCUGGUCAGCCCCGUACACGUAGAGUCCAACACAACCCAGCAACCCACGACUCGCUCUCUCUCUCUCAUUCACCUUUCUAUCUCUUUCUCCCUCACGAGCACGCAGGCGACCAGGACGCACCCCUCGCACGCACCUGUGAUGUCGCAGCCGCCACCCGCUGCUCCGGCCGUCGUCGGCCAGGUCCGGCGCCGCCGCUCUCCGAUUCGACUUCGCCUCCAUCUCUUCUCCUAUUUUCCCACCGUCUCGAUGCUCGGUCGUGCUCCACGCACGACCCCUGUGAACCCUAGCCCGCCUUGACAGCUGCCGGCCAACUCCGGCACCGGCGAGACAUUUUUCUGGCUCCCCUCAACAUCCUCUACCACUUUGUCCCGCUCGAUUUGAUUUUCCAGCUCUACCUCGUCCGCCCCCAAACCUGGAAACCCUAGCGGUCGCUGCUGCUGUCCGGUGAGGCUUCGCCAUCACCCGCCGCCUCGAUUCCGCCCUACGCGCGCGCCCCCCCAAGCGCCUCCACGCGCGCUCGGCCGAACCCUAGGUUCGCCGGCGUGUUGCUGCAAGCCGCUGCUGCUCCCCAUUGGCGACCCCGCCUCCUCAUCGACCACGAGCCCCAGCUCGAGCUCGCCAUCUCGGUGGUAUCUGGUGGUUUGGUGUGUUGUUCAUGGCGAUGUGCUCUGUUGUUGCGACUACUUCAUCCUCGACGCCGGCUGGACGGUGCCGCGGACGCAACCCCGGCGUCGCCUACCUCGCCACUUCCUGUACGACACUGUGAGCUAAACCUCUCCCAUCUUUGUUCAGGGUUCUACUGUUUGGGCUGCACCAUUACUACUGCUCCAUACUUGUGCUACUGGUGGUAUGUAUGUGUGUAUAGUGGAGCUAAAUAAAUCAUGCCCUGGUAAUUGAUGCAAGUGUUAUGGCUCUCUGUGAGGUGUGGUUUGGGCUGACCAUGCUCUGAAUUAAUUGAUCGCUGCCUUGUGCUAUGUGUGGUGCCUCUCUUUGGAUAACUUGCUGUGAUAAUUUGAUGCCCCAUUUAACUCAUGGUUGAGUUUAAGAAAUGGGAUAAAAGUGCUGUGGCUUAAUGCUC
This is a non-coding RNA of Lolium perenne, 2559 nucleotides long. NCBI's taxonomy places the organism in Eukaryota, Viridiplantae, Streptophyta, Magnoliopsida, Poales, Poaceae. The record is from RefSeq and is a predicted model, not a curated record.